CAUCUCUCAGUGUCACACCUGGAGAAUUUCCAGCACUCCACCAGCUUUGACUACAGGAGGGAGAGUUAAGCAGAGGCAUACCCAUUCCAUUCCUACCUUGGGCAGUGGCUAGCGAGUGGAAGGCAAUCUGCUACAAAU
Small nucleolar RNA from Tachyglossus aculeatus (Australian echidna), 138 nucleotides. The record is from RefSeq and is a predicted model, not a curated record. NCBI's taxonomy places the organism in Eukaryota, Metazoa, Chordata, Mammalia, Monotremata, Tachyglossidae.